ACACGGGUAAGUCCUAUACGACUAGCUCCUUAUGAAUCCCCCAGGGCUUGACCGCAGCAAGGGCAAUAAGUUGUAGCGGUGCGAUGUAGUCAGCUUACCCACC
Molecule: signal recognition particle RNA, 103 nt
Filed under: bovine gut metagenome
Description: Bacteroidales small SRP
Rfam family: Bacteroidales small SRP
About the family: The non-coding component of the signal recognition particle in Bacteroides
Source: RNAcentral